This 435-nucleotide ribosomal RNA is filed under the name uncultured bacterium. RNAcentral describes it as "partial 16S ribosomal RNA". The stretch from base 335 to 435 matches the Rfam family "Bacterial small subunit ribosomal RNA", at positions 874 to 972 of the family's 1533-position model. The record is from RNAcentral.
CUACCUCCCCUGUGCGUCCUUGCCCUCCCAACGCUAGAAGGAAGGAAGGUAGGUAACUUCCAUGUGUAGGCGGUAGAAUGCGAGAUAGUUGGGAAGGAACCACCAGGUGGACGAAGGGCGGUCUUUCGUGGCUAGUAACUGGACCGCUGGAGGUCCUAAGGAAACACCGGGAAGGGGAGACCGGGAACGGGUAUUAGACCGUACCCGGGUACUCCGUCGGAACCCGGUAAACNGUAGAAUGCGUAGGUUGGUAAGGGAGGUUAUCCCCGACCCCCUUCCUUGGUCGGCCGGGUAAAGGUUAACCGACUAAAAGUAACGCUACGUUCCCGCCGGGUGGGGAAGGUACGGUCGACAAGCUAAGAACACGAAAGUAUGGACGGGGCCCGCACAAGCGGUGGAGUAUGUGGUUUAAUUCGACGCAACGCGAAGAACCUU